GAUGAAGAACGUAGCGAAAUGCGAUAAGUAAUGUGAAUUGCAGAAUUCAGUGAAUCAUCGAAUCUUUGAACGCACCUUGCACCCUUUGGCAUUCCGAAGGGUAUGCUCGUUUGAGUGUCAUUGUACUCUCACUCUCCCGAUACUUUUGGAUCGGGAGUGGUGGACUUGGGUGCAGCUGCUUAACUGUGGCUCGCCUUAAAUGAAGUAGUGCAACUCUCGGUUGGACAUAGUACGGCGUGAUAAGUGUCUUCGCCGGCGCCUCAUUCGAGGGUGGCCGAUCGGGAGCUCUGUGCUUCAAACUGUCUUCGGACAACAUCUGACAACUUGACCUCAAAUCGAGUAGGACUACCCGCUGAACUUAAGCAUAUCAAUAAGCGGAGGA
RNAcentral lists this unclassified non-coding RNA (382 nucleotides) under soil metagenome. RNAcentral's name for it is "partial contains 5.8S ribosomal RNA, internal transcribed spacer 2, and large subunit ribosomal RNA". The stretch from base 1 to 120 matches the Rfam family "5.8S ribosomal RNA", at positions 35 to 154 of the family's 154-position model. The record is from RNAcentral.